Molecule: ribosomal RNA, 492 nt
Filed under: uncultured bacterium
Lineage: Bacteria
Description: partial 16S ribosomal RNA
Rfam family: Bacterial small subunit ribosomal RNA
Source: RNAcentral
AGUGAACGCUGGCGGUAGGCCUAACACAUGCAAGUCGAACGGCAGCACAGUAAGAGCUUGCUCUUACGGGUGGCGAGUGGCGGACGGGUGAGGAAUACAUCGGAAUCUACUUUUUCGUGGGGGAUAACGUAGGGAAACUUACGCUAUUACCGCAUACGCCCUACGGGUGAAAGCAGGGGAUCUUCGGCCCUUGCGCGUUUGAAUGACCCGAUUUCGGAUUAGCUAGUUGGCGGGGUAAAGGCCCACCAAGCCGACGAUCCGUAGCUGGUCUGAGAGGAUGAUCAGCCACACUGGAACUGAGACACGGUCCAGACUCCUACGGGAGGCAGCAGUGGGGAAUAUUGGACAAUGGGCGCAAGCCUGAUCCAGCCAUACCGCGUGGGUGAAGAAGGCCUUCGGGUUGUAAAGCCCUUUUGUUGGGAAAGAAAAGCAGCAGGUUAAUACCCCGCUGUUCUGACGGUACCCAAAGAAUAAGCACCGGCUAACUUCGUG